This 351-nucleotide ribosomal RNA is filed under the name Triops cancriformis. RNAcentral's name for it is "partial large subunit ribosomal RNA". It matches the Rfam family "Bacterial large subunit ribosomal RNA", at positions 2037 to 2597 of the family's 2925-position model. Lineage: Eukaryota; Metazoa; Arthropoda; Branchiopoda; Notostraca; Triopsidae. The record is from RNAcentral.
UGAAUUUGAUUUUUAAGUGAAAAAGCUUAAAUAUUUUUGGGGGACGAUAAGACCCUAUGGAUCUUUAUAAUGAUGAUUAAUAAAAAGUUUAGAAGUUACAGCUUUUUACUCUAAGUUAUUGGGUUGGGGCGACUGGAAGAAAAAAAUAUCUCUUCUUAAAAAUAAAUAUUAUUUAUAGAAUUAAAAAUGACCCUAAAUUUUGGUUUAGCAGAUCAAGUUACCCUAGGGAUAACAGCGUAAUCUUUUUGGAGAGUUCAUAUCGAUGAAAAGGUUUGCGACCUCGAUGUUGGAUUAAGAGAUCCUUGCGGCGCAGCAGUUGCGGAGGAAAGUCUGUUCGACUUUUAAAUUCUU